Molecule: ribosomal RNA, 1536 nt
Filed under: Thermoleophilia bacterium
Lineage: Bacteria; Bacillati; Actinomycetota; Thermoleophilia
Description: bacterial SSU rRNA
Rfam family: Bacterial small subunit ribosomal RNA
Source: RNAcentral
ACAAUGAAGAGUUUGAUCCUGGCUCAGGAUGAACGCUAGCGGGAGGCUUAACACAUGCAAGUCGAGGGGCAGCACGAGGUAGCAAUACUUUGGUGGCGACCGGCAGACGGGUGAGUAACGCGUAUGUAACCUACCCUGUACAGGGGGAUAACCCGGAGAAAUUCGGACUAAUAUCCCAUAGAAAUAUCGGAAGGCAUCUUUUGAUAUUUAAAGUUCCGGCGGUACGGGAUGGGCAUGCGUAACAUUAGCUAGUUGGUAAGGUAACGGCUUACCAAGGCUUUGAUGUUUAGGGGUCCUGAGAGGGUGAUCCCCCACACUGGUACUGAGACACGGACCAGACUCCUACGGGAGGCAGCAGUGAGGAAUAUUGGUCAAUGGGCGCAAGCCUGAACCAGCCAUCCCGCGUGCAGGAAGACGGCCCUAUGGGUUGUAAACUGCUUUUCCAGGGGGAGAAACUUGCGUACGCGUUGCGCAAUUGACGGUACCCUGGGAAUAAGCAUCGGCUAACUCCGUGCCAGCAGCCGCGGUAAUACGGAGGAUGCAAGCGUUAUCCGGAUUCAUUGGGUUUAAAGGGUGCGUAGGCGGACUAUUAAGUCAGUGGUGAAAUCCUGCAGCUUAACUGCAGAACUGCCAUUGAUACUGAUAGCCUUGAGUUUGGUUAAGGUAGGCGGAAUGUGUAAUGUAGCGGUGAAAUGCUUAGAUAUUACACAGAACACCAAUUGCGUAGGCAGCUUACUGAGCCGACACUGACGCUGAGGCACGAAAGCGUGGGGAUCGAACAGGAUUAGAUACCCUGGUAGUCCACGCCGUAAACGAUGAUUACUCGCUGUUGGCGAUACACUGUCAGCGGCUAAGCAAAAGCAAUAAGUAAUCCACCUGGGGAGUACGGCCGCAAGGUUGAAACUCAAAGGAAUUGACGGGGGCCCGCACAAGCGGAGGAACAUGUGGUUUAAUUCGAUGAUACGCGAGGAACCUUACCUGGGCUUAAAUGUAGAGUGCAUUUUUUAGAGAUAGAAAUUCCCUUCGGGGCUUUCUGCAAGGUGCUGCAUGGUUGUCGUCAGCUCGUGCCGUGAGGUGUCGGGUUAAGUCCCAUAACGAGCGCAACCCUUAUCGUUAGUUGCCAUCUGGUAAAGCAGGGGACUCUAGCGAAACUGCCACCGUAAGGUGAGAGGAAGGUGGGGAUGACGUCAAAUCAGCACGGCCCUUAUGUCCAGGGCUACACACGUGCUACAAUGGCCGGUACAAAGGGCAGCAAUACCGCGAGGUGGAGCUAAUCCCAAAAAGCCGGUCUCAGUUCGGAUUGGAGUCUGCAACUCGACUCCAUGAAGUUGGAAUCGCUAGUAAUCGCGUAUCAGCGUGACGCGGUGAAUACGUUCCCGGGCCUUGUACACACCGCCCGUCACACCACGGGAGUUGAUUGUACCUGAAGCCGGUGGGCUAACCUUCGGGAGGCAGCCGUCUAUGGUAUGAUCGGUAACUGGGGUGAAGUCGUAACAAGGUAGCCGUAGGGGAACCUGCGGCUGGAUCACCUCCUUU